UUCAAAUUGAUAAAUUCCUCAGGUAUGUUUGAUUAUUUUCAACUAAAUGUUGUGUCAGAAGCUAACAAAGACAAAACAACUCAACUCUCCUUCUCAAACAGAAAGCAUCGAACUCAAAGCCCCUCAAUGACAUUUCACCUAGGGGUGUAAACGAACCGAGUCGAGUCGAGCUUCAGCUUGAUUCGUUAAAAUUUUUUCGAGUUCGAGCCGAAUUCGAGCUUUACUCAUAUUGAACUCGAGCCGAGUAUUAAGAAGUUCAAGCUUGGCUCGUUUAGCAAACGAGCUUUUAUCGAGCUGAGUCGAGCUUUUAUCGAGCUGAGUAAUUUAAUUUAUUUACAUGUAUAAUGAGUUUUAGUUUAAAACUAAUAAGUUUAAAACUAAAGUAAUUUUAGUUAAAUUAGUAUAUCUACAAAUUAGCAUGUAAACUUAUAAAGAUGAGUUUUUAAAUCUUAAUAAUCCAAAUAUAUGCAAUUUUAAGAGUGUAACUAAACUAUAUAGAGCUGAAUUUUAAAAAAUUUAGAUUUUGCUCAUUAAAGUAUAUGCAGGGUUUAAGUUUAUUUCUCUUAUGAUAGUAAUUUCAGUUUGCUUAACGAGACCGUUCACGAGCCUAUUCGCGAGCCUGCUCAUAAAUUCAGAAAUGAGCCGAACUCACGAGUCUUAACAAGCCGAAUACUAUGGAGUUCAAGCUUGGCUCGUUUACCAAACGAGCCUAAAAAUUAAGCUCGAGCUUGGCUCGUUUAGAAAUCGAGUCGAGCUCGGUCGAGCUUUUAUCGAAUCAAACCUCGAAUAGCUCACGAACGGUUUGGUUCAUUUACACCCCUAAUUUCACCCAAUAAGAAAUACAAGAAGCAGGUCAUCGUCAAAACUCAGAAACACGAGAACCACCUUUGGAAGAGCAUAUCCACGGUUGAAGGAAUUGGGUCUGAUUAAAGACCACCAAAAAAAAGAGCUUGACCACAGAAAGAAGAUCGAUCGGCCAAAAAUAAAAGCCAUCAGAUCCGUUGCCGCGAGGAGGCACCGAAUCCCUCCCUUUCACAGAUCCGAUGAUUCAGGAUCACCAUGGUGGCUUAGAAGCCUGAUACCAACUCCAAGAUAUAUUCACCGCUAAACAGAGCCCCUCGUCCAUUAUGCAUGUCUUAAAGUCAAGCAGGAGUCGAAGGAACUCGCAUGAAGCAUAACCUACGCAAAAACAAAGAAAAAGGAAAAACCAGAAAACAAGCAAAGAAUGAAUAUAGUAUAUACACCCUCCAUUCAAAGGUGGAAAGGAAAUCCUCACUUUGAGAGAAAAGGAAGACGACUCCCCCACAAAAAAGGACAUAAGAAACUCCUCUCCUGCAAACAAGCGGGUUCUUUUCUAAAAAAACACAAAACCAGAGAAAAGGGACGUUCUCACUUUAGAACACUAGAGAGGGAACAGUGUGCAUCUUAUUAGUUGUAAUAAACUUAUUACAAUUUAAGUACAAUUGUAAAUUAGAACCAAUUGAACUUAUUAUACAAACUUAAAAAUUAAGCCAUAUUUCGACCAAUAGUUUUUAUAAAAUAAUGUACUAACUAAAUAAUAAUUAAUUAAAUGUAAA
RNAcentral lists this long non-coding RNA (1577 nucleotides) under Manihot esculenta (cassava). Its description in RNAcentral is "long non-coding RNA (MESC_LNC001403)". The record is from RNAcentral. Lineage: Eukaryota; Viridiplantae; Streptophyta; Magnoliopsida; Malpighiales; Euphorbiaceae.